Long non-coding RNA from Zingiber officinale, 397 nucleotides. RefSeq lists it as uncharacterized. The transcript has 3 exons. The record is from RefSeq and is a predicted model, not a curated record. Lineage: Eukaryota; Viridiplantae; Streptophyta; Magnoliopsida; Zingiberales; Zingiberaceae.
GACUGAUUGUUUUUUGUGUACUGUUUUUGUGUUCUUGGAUGAUGAUAUUGUGGUGCAGCGGGAUCUCACAACAUUGUGGAAAAUUGAUAUCGAUGGGAAGGUGAAUGGAGCAGUUGAGACAUGCUUUGGGUCUUUUCAUCAUUAUUCACAGCAUAUAAAUUUCUCACACCCUUGAUCAAAGUUAAGUGGAAUUUAGUGGGCAGCUUUUAUUUUGUUAUGUGCAGAAUUCACAAUAGCUCAGCUGAAUUCCAAAUUUUCUCAACAAAAUUGGUUGGUUCAUUAAUCUGUACAAGAGAAGCAAUUUAUCUCAUGAAAUUCGAAGACAGGGAGAGUAAAAAGAAGAAAUUGAAGGCAUGGAUGCUAUUAGCUCGAGGAUGGAGGAACAAAUUAUUGAAAG